Molecule: ribosomal RNA, 520 nt
Filed under: uncultured Glomus
Lineage: Eukaryota; Fungi; Glomeromycota; Glomeromycetes; Glomerales; Glomeraceae
Description: SSU rRNA
Rfam family: Eukaryotic small subunit ribosomal RNA
Source: RNAcentral
AGCACCCGCGGUAAUUCCAGCUCCAAUAGCGUAUAUUAAAGUUGUUGCAGUUAAAAAGCUCGUAGUUGAAUUUCGGGAUCAAUAUGUCGGUCGUGCCUCGGUACGUACUGGCGUAAUUGGUUUCUCCCUUCUGAAGAACCUCGAUGUCAUUAAUUUGGUGUCGUGGGGAAUCAGGACUGUUACUUUGAAAAAAUUAGAGUGUUUAAAGCAGGCUCGCGCUUGAAUACAUUAGCAUGGAAUAAUGAAAUAGGACGUUUGAUUCUAUUUUGUUGGUUUCUAGGACCGAUGUAAUGAUUAAUAGGGAUAGUUGGGGGCAUUAGUAUUCAAUUGUCAGAGGUGAAAUUCUUGGAUUUAUUGAAGACUAACUACUGCGAAAGCAUUUGCCAAGGAUGUUUUCAUUAAUCAAGAACGAGAGUUAGGGGAUCGAAGACGAUCAGAUACCGUCGUAGUCUUAACCAUAAACUAUGCCGACUAGGGAUCGGAUGAUGUUAAUUUUUAAUGACUCAUUCGGCGCCUUACG